Molecule: ribosomal RNA, 466 nt
Filed under: uncultured bacterium
Lineage: Bacteria
Description: partial 16S ribosomal RNA
Rfam family: Bacterial small subunit ribosomal RNA
Source: RNAcentral
GACGAACGCUGGCGGCGCGCCUAACACAUGCAAGUCGAACGAGCGAGAGAGAGCUUGCUUUCUCGAGCGAGUGGCGAACGGGUGAGUAACGCGUGAGGAACCUGCCUCAAAGAGGGGGACAACAGUUGGAAACGACUGCUAAUACCGCAUAAGCCCACGGUGCCGCAUGGCACAGAGGGAAAAGGAGCAAUCCGCUUUGAGAUGGCCUCGCGUCCGAUUAGCUAGUUGGUGAGGUAAUGGCCCACCAAGGCGACGAUCGGUAGCCGGACUGAGAGGUUGAACGACCACAUUGGGACUGAGACACGGCCCAGACUCCUACGGGAGGCAGCAGUGGGGAGUAUUGCACAAUGGGGGAAACCCUGAUGCAGCGACGCCGCGUGGAGGAAGAAGGUCUUCGGAUUGUAAACUCCUGUUGUUGGGGAAGAUAAUGACGGUACCCAACAAGGAAGUGACGGCUAACUACGUG